AGUGGGGAAUAUUGCACAAUGGGCGAAAGCCUGAUGCAGCCAUGCCGCGUGUAUGAAGAAGGCCUUCGGGUUGUAAAGUACUUUCAGCAGUGAGGAAGGUGGUAAAGUUAAUACCUUUAUCAUUUGACGUUAGCUGCAGAAGAAGCACCGGCUAACUCCGUGCCAGCAGCCGCGGUAAUACGGAGGGUGCGAGCGUUAAUCGGAAUUACUGGGCGUAAAGCGCAUGCAGGUGGUUUGUUAAGUCAGAUGUGAAAGCCCGGGGCUCAACCUCGGAAUUGCAUUUGAAACUGGCAGGCUAGAGUACUGUAGAGGGGGGUAGAAUUUCAGGUGUAGCGGUGAAAUGCGUAGAGAUCUGAAGGAAUACCAGUGGCGAAGGCGGCCCCCUGGACAGAUACUGACACUCAGAUGCGAAAGCGUGGGGAGCAAA
This 427-nucleotide ribosomal RNA is filed under the name uncultured Vibrio sp. Its description in RNAcentral is "bacterial SSU rRNA". It matches the Rfam family "Bacterial small subunit ribosomal RNA", at positions 353 to 772 of the family's 1533-position model. Lineage: Bacteria; Pseudomonadati; Pseudomonadota; Gammaproteobacteria; Vibrionales; Vibrionaceae. The record is from RNAcentral.